UGGGGAAUAUUGGACAAUGGGCGAAAGCCUGAUCCAGCCAUGCCGCGUGUGUGAAGAAGGCCUUCGGGUUGUAAAGCACUUUCAGCGAGGAAGAACGCUUGUGGGUUAAUACCCCGCAAGAAGGACAUCACUCGCAGAAGAAGCACCGGCUAACUCCGUGCCAGCAGCCGCGGUAAUACGGAGGGUGCAAGCGUUAAUCGGAAUUACUGGGCGUAAAGCGCGCGUAGGCGGCUUGAUAAGCCGGUUGUGAAAGCCCCGGGCUCAACCUGGGAACGGCAUCCGGAACUGUCAGGCUAGAGUGCAGGAGAGGAAGGUAGAAUUCCCGGUGUAGCGGUGAAAUGCGUAGAGAUCGGGAGGAAUACCAGUGGCGAAGGCGGCCUUCUGGACUGACACUGACGCUGAGGUGCGAAAGCGUGGGUAGCAAACA
This 427-nucleotide ribosomal RNA is filed under the name uncultured bacterium. RNAcentral's name for it is "bacterial SSU rRNA". It matches the Rfam family "Bacterial small subunit ribosomal RNA", at positions 355 to 774 of the family's 1533-position model. The record is from RNAcentral.